Molecule: unclassified non-coding RNA, 333 nt
Filed under: soil metagenome
Description: partial contains 5.8S ribosomal RNA, internal transcribed spacer 2, and large subunit ribosomal RNA
Rfam family: 5.8S ribosomal RNA (bases 1-121)
Source: RNAcentral
GAUGAAGAACGCAGCGAAAUGCGAUAAGUAAUGCGAAUUGCAGAAUUUCCGUGAGUCAUCGAAUCUUUGAACGCACAUUGCGCCCGCCAGUAUUCUGGCGGGCAUGCCUGUUCGAGCGUCAUUUCAACCCUCAAGCACAGCUUGGUGUUGGGACUCGCGUUAAUUCGCGUUCCUCAAAUUGAUUGGCGGUCACGUCGAGCUUCCAUAGCGUAGUAGUAAAACCCUCGUUACUGGUAAUCGUCGCGGCCACGCCGUUAAACCCCAACUUCUGAAUGUUGACCUCGGAUCAGGUAGGAAUACCCGCUGAACUUAAGCAUAUCAAUAAGCGGAGGA